This 425-nucleotide ribosomal RNA is filed under the name uncultured cyanobacterium. Its description in RNAcentral is "bacterial SSU rRNA". It matches the Rfam family "Bacterial small subunit ribosomal RNA", at positions 358 to 795 of the family's 1533-position model. Lineage: Bacteria; Bacillati; Cyanobacteriota. The record is from RNAcentral.
GGAAUUUUCCGCAAUGGGCGAAAGCCUGACGGAGCAAUACCGCGUGAGGGAUGACGGCCUGUGGGUUGUAAACCUCUUUUCUCAAGGAAGAAGCUCUGACGGUAUCUGAGGAAUAAGCAUCGGCUAAUUCCGUGCCAGCAGCCGCGGUAAUACGGGAGUGGCAAGCGUUAUCCGGAAUUAUUGGGCGUAAAGCGUCCGCAGGCGGCCCUUCAAGUCUGCUGUUAAAAAGUGGAGCUUAACUCCAUCAUGGCAGUGGAAACUGUUGGGCUUGAGUGUGGUAGGGGCAGAGGGAAUUCCCGGUGUAGCGGUGAAAUGCGUAGAUAUCGGGAAGAACACCAGUGGCGAAGGCGCUCUGCUGGGCCAUCACUGACGCUCAUGGACGAAAGCCAGGGGGAGCGAAAGGGGAUUUAGAUACCCCAGUAGUC